RNAcentral lists this ribosomal RNA (266 nucleotides) under uncultured bacterium. Its description in RNAcentral is "partial 16S ribosomal RNA". It matches the Rfam family "Bacterial small subunit ribosomal RNA", at positions 1236 to 1500 of the family's 1533-position model. The record is from RNAcentral.
CAAACAGAGGGAAGCGGACCGGUGACGGCGAGCGAAUCCCAAAAAGUGCGCCCCAGUUCGGAUUGUAGUCUGCAACUCGACUACAUGAAGCCGGAAUCGCUAGUAAUCGCGGAUCAGAAUGCCGCGGUGAAUACGUUCCCGGGUCUUGUACACACCGCCCGUCACACCAUGGGAGCCGGAAAUGCCCGAAGUCAGUGACCCAACCAAUAAGGAGGGAGCUGCCGAAGGCAGGUCUGGUGACUGGGGUGAAGUCGUAACAAGGUACC